RNAcentral lists this long non-coding RNA (438 nucleotides) under Myripristis murdjan (pinecone soldierfish). RNAcentral's name for it is "lncRNA (ENSMMDG00005011542.1)". Lineage: Eukaryota; Metazoa; Chordata; Actinopteri; Holocentriformes; Holocentridae. The record is from RNAcentral.
GGCUAACCAUUAACUUCAAUCAAUCAAUCAGCCAAUCAAUCAGACUUUAUCUGUAGAGGACUCUGCACGCCACAGAGAAACCCCCUGUGAGGGAAACUAACCCAGUGCAGGCAGCGUCCACAGACCCAGCAGGAACAAACAGACCCAGCAGGCCUCCAGUUAGUCCGUUAUCAAAAGAAGGGAACAAACAAACAUAAAAUAAACAAGGAGAACUGACUGAACCUGCGGGUUCCUGCGGGGUUCCUGCGGGUUCCUGCGGGCGCAGAGCGGGUCUGCGGGAGCAGGGAGGAGCGAGGCCACCUGGACGGAGCUCUAAACCGAACAAACAGCUGCUGUUUACCGUGUCGGUGAAGCUCCGUAACGUCAGGCUCGACGCGUUAGCUACACAGCCGGCCAGCUGUUUGGGAGCUAAUGCUAACAGGCUAACUGCGUUGUUGU